RNAcentral lists this ribosomal RNA (253 nucleotides) under uncultured bacterium. RNAcentral's name for it is "partial 16S ribosomal RNA". It matches the Rfam family "Bacterial small subunit ribosomal RNA", at positions 524 to 776 of the family's 1533-position model. The record is from RNAcentral.
UACGGAGGGGGCCAGCGUUGUUCGGAAUCAUUGGGCGUAAAGGGCGCCUAGGCGGCGAAGCAAGUCGGACGUGAAAGCCCCCGGCUCAACCGGGGAAUUGCAUCCGAAACUGCUUUGCUCGAGUCCUGGAGAGGGUAGCGGAAUUCCCGGUGUAGCGGUGAAAUGCGUAGAUACCGGGAGGAACACCGGUGGCGAAGGCGGCUACCUGGACAGGUACUGACGCUGACGCGCGAAAGCGUGGGGAGCAAACAGG